AUAGGUAUAGCUCUGUGGUAGAGUGCGAGCUUAGCCUGCACAAGGUCCUGGGUUCAAUCCCCAGUACCUCCA
This 72-nucleotide transfer RNA is filed under the name Camelus bactrianus (Bactrian camel). It matches the Rfam family "tRNA". Rfam says of the family: Transfer RNA (tRNA) molecules are approximately 80 nucleotides in length. Their secondary structure includes four short double-helical elements and three loops (D, anti-codon, and T loops). The record is from Rfam by way of RNAcentral. RNAcentral also lists the same sequence under 2 other names. Lineage: Eukaryota; Metazoa; Chordata; Mammalia; Artiodactyla; Camelidae.